Molecule: long non-coding RNA, 2129 nt
Organism: Populus nigra (black poplar)
Lineage: Eukaryota; Viridiplantae; Streptophyta; Magnoliopsida; Malpighiales; Salicaceae
Exons: 2
Source: RefSeq, a predicted model, not a curated record
AAAUGUAAACAGGAGCAAAGAAAAAAACAGCCGAAAAUUAAUUAACUUGCAGUGGAUCUCUUCGUCUUCUUCGUCCCUAAUAACAUCCAUAACUGUAGAAAAAUCACUCUCUCUUCAUUGAUCUGAUUUUCCUUUAUCCCAAACUUUUUAUCUACUUCUCAUUCGUCUUCAACAUCCCUAACUUUUAUCUUCACCUUCUUCUCCUUCAUUUUAACAGAUUCAAUCUUUCUCUAUAAACCACCAAAAACACAGACCCAUGGCAACAUCCCACUAGACCCAUAAUUAUCACCAUCGAACAUCCUGAUUUACCCCCUCUCUUUGUAUACGGGUUGGGUUUUGCACUCUUUUCUUCAAUAAUUUAGGUAACAAUUUUUUUUUAUCGAUACUUUGAAUAACGGUUUUAGGCUAUUCAUUUGAGAAAAUAAGAGUUUAUGAAAUGUUUUUACCAUGAUCUAUAACCUAAUUAUGCAUGUUUAAUUAAAAUUUUAUCAAAACCCCCAAUUUAAUUUGUAGGGUUACGGUUCAUCAAUUGUUUGAAAAUAACUUUUCUGGGCAUAUCACUGUCUUUUUUCUUUCCUUAUUCAAUGCGAGUUUGUAUAAAAUAUUAAUUGAAUGAUUUUCAUUGACCUUUGAAACCAUUUCUAAUAAACUUGAAGUCUAGGUUCGUUCUUCUUCCAGAUUCGUGAUAUACUGGAGAAGAAUGAAAAUGCUGCCUUUGUUUCUUUUUGUGGGGAUAUUGACUUAACAGCUUUCAGUGAGAAUCCAAAUUUGAAAGACACAUGGGCUCAUCAGGUUCGUGAUAUGCUGGAGAAUGAGGAGAGGAAUGAAAAUGCCGAAUUCCGAGUGAAGGAGGUUGAGUACAUUCAAGCAGAGGUGAAGAUAAUAAAGUGUCUAGUGGAAAAUAUUGUGGUAGAUAUUUCAUUUAACCAACUUGGUGGACUGUUCACCCUUUGUUUCUUUGAAAAGGUUAGUGCUUUAUCCUAGAAAUUGUCUACUCCUUUUGUCCAAAUAUUAUGAUCUUUUUUCCGGAAACUUCUGCUUUCCCAAAUUAUUAGUCUUUUAUUAGAAAAUCACUAAUCCUGCCAUGCCCUAUUCAUUAAGCAACCUAAAUCAAAACCAUCUUCUGGACUUAGCAAAUUAUUUCUUGAGGCUUGUAGUGCAAUAUAUGUUGUUUUACCUGCUGGACAAGAUAAUCAAGGGCAACCCUUUUUGCCCAAACACUUCAAUGUUAUUGAUCCUAUGCGUAUAAACAACAACCUGGGACACAGUGUCAGUAAAGGUAUAUAAAUAGAACUCUGCUAUGCUGUUUGCCAUCAAGUUAAAUGUCAUUUGAAUACCUCUACUUUUUUACGUUCCAAAUUUUAUCAAGCAAGGAAUACAAGCUGGCAACUAUUGUAUUCAUGUUUCUUCUAGGAUUAACUGGUGGUUGUUUCCAGUAGAGUAUUGGAGGUUCUUUUUACAUUUCAGCAAGAGUCCCAUUUCAAGUAGAAAGACAUGAUUACUUCAUGCUGUUUUUAUUUUUAUGCUUAGCUUCUAUCCAUGCUUGCUUCUUCCAUGAUAUAUAUGUACAUGUAUCAAGAACAAAAGAAACAAUUUUGCAUUCCUUCUUUGAUAUAAUUGUGGAGUUUGGUUGAUUUUAUAUUUUCUCAACUCAAUAAUUAUUGAUGAUAAUGCAUAUAUUUUGUUUGGUUUUUAGCAUGCCUCGAUGAGGAUCCAUAUUAGAUUCUAGGAGUGACAAGUCCAUUUUAUCCAAAUCAUUUCAAAAGGAGAUAAAGAAAAAAGAAGAGGAGAUAAAAAAAAAAGAUGAUUUUAUUUUUGAAAUAAAACGGCAGAUAGUUUCCAUGAAAGAAUAUCUUAUGAACAAUCUUGGAUAUCAUCGUGGGACAUCAAAUAUUGACCUUAUGGCCCUAUCAAUGUCGCCGCCUAUGGCUCCCCAGAUAAUGACGCCUAUGGGUCCCACAUUUUCACCAAUUUAUCGACCUUCACCUCAACCACUAUAUCCUGAUUCAUCUUACAUCGACCCAUAAUAUCGUGGUUCGUCUCCACAACAAGCACCAUGAUUGUAUCUUUUUAUUGUAUUUUGACUUAUUUUCAUUAAUGCAAGUUUAACUAAAUUUUUAUACUAUGAA